RNAcentral lists this microRNA (22 nucleotides) under Canis lupus familiaris (dog). RNAcentral describes it as "cfa-miR-8833". Lineage: Eukaryota; Metazoa; Chordata; Mammalia; Carnivora; Canidae. The record is from miRBase by way of RNAcentral.
UGACUUCGACUGCCCGACAGCC